CUGGUUUAUAAAACAUUUACAAGCAACAGCAAUUGAACUAUAUGACAAAGAAACCAAUGUAUACAAGCCAAUCAAGUUCUUCAGUUUAAAGGUCUGUUUACUUUUUAAUAAUUAGUUCAUUUAGUUGUACAUUAAUACGAAGUACUGGAACAGUACGCCUAGUCACAGAAUAGGAAGGUAUACCCAUGAUCUUGAUACGCGGAAAAGUACUGGCACUAGUUGUCAAAUAGAAAUCCAUUUUAUGAUUAAAACAACUGAAUAUCUCCUGUAAUAUACUUUAUUUCGAUUCCAUAUUUUUGUCAGAGCUAUAGUUCUCAUAGCCAAACAUAAUUACAAAAUUUCAACUAGUUUCAUAAAGAAUAACGAAAGAUAUAAUUGACGGAAUACAUCAAAAUGGAUUUCUAUUCGGACAGCCCUUUCUGAGCGCUGAUUGGCUAAAAUACGAGCACGAGAUCACCUGGCCAUUGAACUAAAAAUAACUGGAACGAUACCUCCAGCCGGAAAUGUGAAGCCAUGCCCAGGCAUGCCCACUGUUGUCAUGCCCAGUCUUUUCACGUAACAGAAAUGAACGCGGGUUUUUUUAAUUUCCAAAACUGGGUAAAAAAAUGCACUAAAACAUGAUUUAAAACGACGUAAAAUGCACCUACCAGUACAUUUUUUACAAUAAAAACAUCCUUCAAAACUCUAGAGUAAAAUAUUUUUAAUUUACAGUACCGAUCACGGGAAAGUUAACAGUCCCUUGCGGGACGGGAUUCCUGUCCCGUGGGAACGUCGUUUGGGACAGAAAUCCCAUCCCGCGUUGUUGCGUGGACGGGAAAGCCGAAAUAAGCCUGCUAAAGACAUUUACAGUAGAAGAUUUGUUUCGACAGUAUGCUGCACAUCUUUAUUAAUGAAAUUUGUUCAAAGCUGAAACCGUUUUUAUAUCAUUUUUUUUCGAGAUUUUUUGAGAUUUGAAAUGGAUUUUCCGUUAUUUGGAUGUUUAGAGACUUUUUUGCCUUUUGGGACUUACGAGUUUUCACAAAAUCUACGAGCUAUAUCGUUAAAGAGAUUUCACAGCGCAAUUAAUUUCAGAAGACAAUAACCGAUCAAGACAAAAGGCCCACUGUCUUUGGUCUCAAUAGACAGUGCCGAAAACCGAUUGAUGUUCUGUUUUUGACAAACAACGUGAGUCAUCGACUCCAAAAUAAUUCCGAACGCGCUAAUAAAAGCCGAUACAAGGUCGCAAGCUUUUCAUUCGUCCGGUUUGUUCUGUACUGCAAAAACUUCACUGCUCUGUCUAAUUGGAGUGUUCACAUUGAAAGAAAAAAGUCUCGAAAUGCUUCGUGAACUGACUAAAGAGUCUAAAGUGUCAAAGUAUGCGGUUGCAUAGCGUUUCACGAAUAGCGACAAAAGAUGUUGUUAUGGUCGGAGGUGGUGGAGAAAUUAAACGAAAAUGUAAAGAUUUUGUUAUGUUGAAGCGUGAAAGAUAUUCUAGCCUACAUUUUAUAUCUUUCUGCAGGUAAGUAUACAUACAUAUUCAGAAACCACUUUGGAUUAAUAUAGCUACUGGAGACCUUGGUUAUUGUCAAUUUCAAGUCACUUUUCAACGUGCGGUUCCCAACUUCGUUGUGAACUUGCCAAUUACAUUUCCAAGUUCGGAAAUUAGGCGCGAAAUGUCAUAUUUCUUAACGUUUUAUUUUAAAUUCGGAUUUUAAUAUUCGCGGGACGGGAUUCCUGUCCCGUGAUCGGUACUGUAUUUGUGUAGAAUUCAUAAUUAAAUUUCCUUUUUUGAAAAAAAAACGUUGAGCGAGGAGUGGAGCUUGCCGUGGUCUAAUCAUAAGUAUUUGUGUGAAUUUCCCUAUUUUGCUCAUUCGUUUUCCAAUUUAUUCGUCUGAAAGUUUAUAGGAAAAAAGGUAUUCUAACAAGAUCAAACUACCAACCACAGUUUAAUUAUGUUUUGUAGUAGAGUAUUUAUUAAGUUUUAAAGGUACAAAAUAACAAGUAUAAACAUUAAAGACAUUAAGAAAGUUUUUUUCGCGGAACAAGAACAAGAACAAGUCGUCAACGAAGGCAAACAAAGUGAUAGAUACAGAUUAAAUAAACUUAUCUUGUUUAACAAUCAAUGAAGUUGUUAUAAAUAUAUGUUUAAUACGUUAAGAUAAAGAAUUACUUAUCUUUCUCAAGUUUCAUCUGCAUAUAAACGUUCCAGUCAUUCAAAUAUGCACUUGUUGUCUCCAAUCAGUUACUUUCUUCCUUGCAAUUUUAGUCGGUAGGUAGGGUUCAAGAUAUGUUUUAAAUACACUUUUAAUACAAAAAUAUAGCUUAAAACCCUAAAUAAACGACAAUUUUCGAUCCAUUCGUCCGAGAAAAAACAUUCAGUCACUUCGCCAUAAUGGUCUCGCGAGAAUGUCUCGCAACACAAAUGCGCGUGUCUGGAGGUAGAACACACACGGCUGGAGGUAAAAUUUGGCUUCAUCCGAUCAUAAGCCAAUCCUAUUGGAGGUAGCGUUCCAGGUAUUUUUAGUUCACUGGGUAUACCAGAAGCGUAACUCAAGCAAGUAUUUGUCCGCAUUUUUACAAGCGAUUCGUCAUCAAUCACGCCAUCCUGGCUAGUACAACCAGCACUUUGUACCUACCAAAACCAGUGAACUCUCUCUCUAUAUAUAUAUAUAUGGAAUGAUAACAGCGAGUGAAAAGUGAAGCCGACAAAAAAAAUCACGACAUAAGUAUUCGUCAUUGUCUUCGUCAUCAACUGUUCAAGAACAAUCACUUACAUAUAAAAUUUGUAAUUGUUUUGAAAGUUUUUAUCACAGUUUUUAUAUCUUUAUUCACUUUUAACCUGAAGAUGGAGUUUACUCCGAAACGUAGUUAUUAAAAUAAUUUUUCACUAAGCCCAUAUGGUCUAAUUUAUAUUCAAACACGCAUACAUAUUCAUUUACAUUUUGCUGGCAGGCAAAUUCCGAUCACACAAUAAAUUCUUUAAAAAAUAACGUACCAGUGUAUUGACUAAAAACUAUAAAACUGGUAAACUAAAAAACAAUUCAAACAAUUGUGAAAAAUGGCAAAGUCACAGUUGCAAGUCAAUUUACCUACCUGUGAAAUGAAAUUUUCCUCGCAAGAAUAUCUCUUUCCUUGUGCAUCCAGAACGACACAAUAUAUUUGAAAAAGCCUAUUCUUUUCUCCACACGGGGAAGUUUUCCUUGACUUUUUUCCGACAGCGAACUCAAUGCAGUAAAUUUUAGGAGCAAAACAGUUUGCUCCUAAAAUGUAUUGCAUUGAAUUGGCCAUGUUUUUAAUUUUUUUUUCGUGAUUGCGUUCAAAUUUAUACUGGCCGUGCAACGGUUUGCAAGAGGGGGAAUGAAACUGACGUCCAAUCCGCGUAAACCUGACGUUUGAGAGACUGACGUCCAAUCCGCGUGAAAGACUGGUAUCGAGGCUUCAUUGUUUUCACAAUCAAAUGACUGAAUGUUAUCAUUCCAGAUAUAUAUAUAUAUAUAUAGAGAGAGAGAGAGAGUUCACUGACCAAAACCUGAUAAAAACUUCCAGCUGUACUAGCCAGGAUGGCGUGGAUUGGCAUGAGCGAGUUAAAAUUUUCGUGGACGUAAAACAAUAAGGGAAACGACUAGAGUUACCCUUCUGCUCUAUCUUCUUUAUUCUGUGGCCUAGUUUGGUUUUGCUAAUUGUACUGACUACUGUAGUCGGACGGAAUAUUUAAGAUAAGGUAUGGAUAAACAGACCCCAACCCCUUCCCUAACCAAUAAAUGUGUAAUGAACUAUUUGAGAGUUAGAAAGGUCGGGGGGAAAAAUUUACAAAUAUUUUAAGAAACAUUUCUACGGGGCUGUUUAUAUGGAAGCAUGCCGCCAGGGUGGAAAGUUUGUAGUUUGCGCCGAAGAUCUUCGGCGUGGAAAAUUCAUAAAUUUGCUCCAUUUUGGCGCAGAAUUAUGGGAAAACGAACUGGCGUGGUGCACUGGCGUACAAAAAAUAUUUACUUGCGCACACUACAACGUUCUCAACCAUUUAUGUCUGUAUUUCAGUAAUUUAAUAAAGGGAAUUUGAUUGAGCACUGACUGACCGUAUUUCAAAUGUUUAGUAUCUGUUCUGUCUCAUUCUAAAAGUGUUGAUAUUGCAACUCGGCGGCGCAUGUGAACAUGUUUUAAAAAAGGAUUUGUGCAGCCACUGGUGCAUGUUACUGAACCUUGAUCAAAUCUUCGGCGCACAAGAAACAAACUUUCCACCCUGGAAGCAGGGCUGGCCUGCUAAACGAGAUAGCCUGGUAAGCGGGAUGAAUUUUGCUUGCGUUUAUGAGAUUUUAUCCUGCUUGCUGUGCUAGAAAUUGUUUACAUUGCACUCAAUAGGCAAUUCCAGCUUUUAGUUUAUGCCUGCAGGGGAUGAUGGGAAGUAAGGUAUCAUAGUGCUGAUUAUGCUGAAAAAUUUCAAUAAAAACAACCGAAAUAUUUCAAUAUUUACAAGUAUAAGCUAUCACUACGUGUUUACACGGCCACCAUUUUUAUUUUUUCAGCAUAAUCAGCAAUGUGAUACCUUAUUUCCCAUCGUCCCCUGCACGCAUAAACUAAAAGCUGGAAUUGCCUAUUGGCUUUCCCAAUUUCAAAAUUAAUUUUUGCUUCAAAACUCACUAUUUUGUAAACAUUACAGCUAUUGAAGCACAGCUUAGAGACAGGAAGUUUUACCUCGCAGUUUGAUCGUUGAAACACACAACUUACCAAGGGCAAAUUCAUGGGAAAUUUAGGCACUUUCGGUCAAUGGGUUGUUCCAGAAAAGAUCCAUACCCCCAUGCUGUCCGAAGGGGGAGUGAGGAAAAAUGUCUUAGGAUGUCCGAAGGGGGGGGGGGGAGGAAAUGCGGAUAUAAGAUUGUCGGAAGGUUUUAGACAGUGAUAAAGCUAUGUGUAUCGGCUAUAGCCCUUAAAAACUGGAACGUUUAUGUAACAGCAAUAAUUAUACGUCCACGUAACUCGUAAGCAAAAUAGCGGCCCACUUUUGCAUGCAUGGUCACCAAAAACUAACUCGCUGUAACAGUGUAUCCUGCAUGUUGAGAAUGAGUCGAAAAUUUACACACUUUAUUUAUAUAAAAGUAAAGUUUUGCAGUUUUUGUAUGUAUAAGUUUGAAUUAUUCAAGUGUUAAAAAUAAUAGUUAUUAAACUGUUGCUUGAAUUAAGAGACUGCUAUGUGAACUAAACUCAAUAUUUAGAAUAUUUAGUUUCAAUAUAUAGUCAAUAAAAGCUUCCUUGCGAGGUGUGUGCCUAGAAAAUAGAAAUGGCUGUCAUAUUAAGGGCGAGGUUAAGGAAUGCAGUAAUACUAAAAAAUGCAUUAACAUGUAAGUAAACACAGCAACGCUUCUCAAUCAGUCGCAAGUUACAUUGAAUUUCAGUCCGAAUUUUACUUGAUCGAAUUUCAAAGUGAAUUUCUGCAAAUUAUCCACCAAAAUCUGCCAUGUGUUUGUGUUCACAAGAAGCCGCCAAGUGUUCCACCACCACGCCGGAGCUAUUUGACAACAAUGUAGAAAAGUCACAAUAAGCCAUCGCUUUCACACUACGCUGGAGCGAAAUAGUUUGAAAACUUUCACAACACCUUUGCCAAAUACGCUACCAGCCUGAAUUGCUGAAAGCUGUUGCAAAAAACUGUUUUAUAGUACUACUUUACAAAAUGUAAUAAUUGGAUGCUAUAUACUUCAGUUCUUGUAUGAUAGCGCUUAUAAAUAAUUAUAUAUAAUAUAUAAUAUAUAAUUAUAAAUAAUUAUAAGCACUAUCAUACAAGAAAUGUCAAGAAUGAAUUUUCCUUCAAUGGUGGUUUUUUAUCCGUCAAAAGUUUAAUAUAGUUUUGACGAGAGAAAUGUUUCUCAACAAUUUUCAGAAAGUUUUACAAGAUUUUGGGGCUUGUUUUGAAUUGGGCUAUUCCAUUUAAAAGACGUAACCCCCCUAUCAAGGACAAUGGUUUUACCAUAUCUCUGAAGAAUUCCUGACAUAAAAGAGAUCCCCUGAAGAAUUCCUGUUACCCCUGAAGAAUUACAAUUUUUACAUCUGACCCCUAAAGGAAUUGCAUUUGAAAUAACCAACCCCUGAAGAAUUCCACAGGAGAAUUUGUUUACCCAUGAGGAAUUCCGGAGUUAAAAAGGGAGAUUAUGGAUAUUAAAUGGAAUAGCCAAUUUUCUGGAAAAUUUAGCCCAAUUUUCUUGAAAAUUUCCUGGUUGUUUUCCCUGCAGCUUGUUUAUAAACAUGCUUGUUUAUCUAUAGCAUCAUUUGUAGAAAAGGUGUUGAAAGCAUUUUUUGAAAGCAAUGACGUAUUAUCAAAUGACAAAUGAUCAUGCGAGCGACACUUGCUAGGAAGAUGGCGACUGUGGGACAACUAUAUAAUAGUUUUGUUUGUGGAAACACCACAUAAAUUUAUUACUGCAAAGCUUUCAAUCCGUAAGCCCGGAUCUUCAUCAGUGCUAAUAUGUGACUUGUUUAAUUCACACGCCCUUUUUAUAUACAAAAAAUGUCUUGAUCUGUUGGCUCACAUAUUAUUAGCACUGAUGAAGAUCCGGGCUUACAGAUCGAAAGCUUGGCAGUAAUAAAUUUACGUGGUGUUUCCACAAACAAAACUAUUAUAUGUUUUAUCGCCAUGCAAACAUACAAAGAAAUUAUUGUGGGACAACUUUUUUACUGAAGUUAUACAUCUGUCUUCACUUAAUCUGUGGCUCAGCUGGCUAGACCUUGAUUCUUGCCUGUGGUCCCCCUUUGCAUUUGACCCAAAUGUUUUGGUCAUUUUAUAUUUGCCAAUAUAAAUCUUUUUGGCAUAGAAAUUAUACAUUUGGAAUAAUAAUUUUGUAUGCUGCAUUCAAUCUAUUCUCCAUUCAGGGAGAUUCUUUUGUAAAUACCCACACCAAUCAGAAGUCUGUAUUUUUAUGCUAAAACAGAAAUUGGCAUCCCAGAGAGUAAAUUAUGUUCAAGUUUAGGGCAUGUUGCAGCUCUAUAUCUUGCCGUUGCAAGUUGCUUUGCGUUUGAUGUUUGUUCUGGGAUAAAAUAUUGAAUUAUACCUUAAAUUAAUGUUUUGUGAAAUUUAGUUUAAAUAAUUUAAUAGAGAGAUGAGUGCAUAAAGCAUAGGGAUUUUGAAGCUAAAUAUGUUAUAAAAUUUGUCAUUUUAGUGAAUGCAUUCGUUUCUGCUCGUCCUGGUUGUUGCAAGGAGACAUCAGGCAUUGUAAUGGAUGGAUGACAAUGUGUCGCUGGCAAACCUACACCGUGUGCAUUUUCUUGGUGGAUAUCUUGGGCAAAUGUGCAAUAUGACGAGGGAUAUCUUGGGCAAAUAUCUUAUAUAAAUUGGUACGAUUGCUUACCUUAAAUUACUAAAGAAGGAUGAUGUUGUAAGGUUAGUGGAUAUUUAUAAUAGUGAUAAAAUGGGGGUUCCCUAUGAAUAGGAACAAAGUAAGGCUGCC
RNAcentral lists this long non-coding RNA (7409 nucleotides) under Paramuricea clavata. Lineage: Eukaryota; Metazoa; Cnidaria; Anthozoa; Malacalcyonacea; Plexauridae. The record is from RNAcentral.